GGGUGUCAUAAAUAUACUUAAGCUUAAAAAUAUCUAUUGAAUAAGAUCCCGACUAAAGUUAAUUGAUUAAGUAUUAAAAUAAAAUAUGAGUGCAAAUUUUCAAAAUGUUUUCCUUUUAUGAUUCUAUUUUAAUUUCUUCCCCAUUCCCCACCCUUAUAAGCCUUUAGGUGAGCUUCCCUUAAAAAAUGAAACUAUAUUAGGAUAUUUAGGCAUGUCACUUAAAAUAAAAUGGCCAAUUGUUCCCUUUUUCAUCUUUAAGUUCAUUGUUCAUCUCUAAUACUAUUUUGCUUUAUUUUUUGAGCUCUGAAGUUUUUAAAAUCUAUCUUAUAAUUUACCAUAAAAUCUAGACUCUAACUAUCAAGUAAGAGAGCAUAAUAAGGAGGGGAAAUGGGGAUAAAUUGGUCCUUUUAUAGAUGCUAUAUAUGCAAAUAUCUUAAUGUGUGAUAGUCAAUAAUUGACACUAGUGAUGAAAUAUUUCUUUGAUUGACAAAAAUCAUACACCUCUUAAUGAGGGUCAUAUCCAAAGUGUUGGCCUAAUAUGAUUAGGUAAUAAUAUACACUUAAAAUAUGCGUACAAAAAGGAUGGAAUUUAGAUUUUGACCUAUUAUCCAAAUGCCUCCCUA
Molecule: long non-coding RNA, 623 nt
Filed under: Lupinus angustifolius (narrow-leaved blue lupine)
Lineage: Eukaryota; Viridiplantae; Streptophyta; Magnoliopsida; Fabales; Fabaceae
Description: long non-coding RNA (LANG_LNC002718)
Source: RNAcentral